ACCUUCGAAAAGGGAAAACGUGAUAGAAGAUUAGAAGUCGUGCCCCAAAUUAACAAGAUAAAUAGAUAGAAGUGUUGGCCGGCCAGAAUGAAAACGCAGACUCCAUCUCCUCCUGGAAUCUUUAACUCUAUUGUUCUCUAUGGUAGUGGAGCUCUAUUCUCUAUCGGUAAGGAUCUCUUAUCCUCUUCUUUAGUCUUUAUGAUUCUCCUAUUUCUUGGAAAUUUGACUUAGGGUUUAGAGAAAUCUAAAUUGGGGAUUUUUGUAUUUUUACUUUUUAUUUUUUAUGAAUUGUUUUCAGAUUGAAUCAGAAUUCUUUUAUGUAAACUUUCAAUCUCAAAUACAGCCCCAAAACGGGAAUAUGAUUUUUUUUGAUAAGGCAUUGGAUUCACUGUAUAUGUAUCUAUGUUUUCAUAUUUAUAUCAUGUUUGCCGGAUUGCAUACGGGGUUGAGGUACUUUGAUGACAACAUCAAUACUCAAUAGGUUGGUGAAAGAGAGUAUAUAUUGGCGUUGAUCCAGAACAUCUUUUUGGGAACAAGCAGAGCAUCUCACUGCUUCCAAAUUUAGAGUGGAAGUUAGUUUGUUCUGUUUGGUUCAACUCCGAAAAGAAAAUAAUCAGGUAUACAUUCUCUUUGUUUUUUGUUGUUGUUCUUUCUUUAUUUUUCUUUACCUAUUUUCAUUUCUUCUUAGGUUCUGUUAAAUCUCAUUGUGCACAGUUUGCAUAACUUUUGGGUAUAGUUAAUUUGUGGGUUGCUCAGUAUUAGAGUUUUAAUAUCAACAUCUGGUUCAUGCUCUUUAGUUUGAAGAAAUAUAUCCAUAUGGUUCAAUAUCUUAAAUGGUCACAAUAGGUCAAAUACAUCUUAGUAUUAUAAUUUGCAUUCUUAAAUUGAAAUUUAUGGCCGGUAUGCUAACACAACUAGUGAAUGAUAAAAUUCUAGCUUUGAUACACUCUUGAUGACUGACAUAAGCUUUAUCAUUAUUGAUUGUUAUGUUGUACAUUAUUGCAAGAUGGAAUGAAUAAAUACUUCAAAAAGCUCUAAAUUUGUGUACUCUUUCUCUUCGCUCAAAGAAUUCUGUUCAGUAAUAUAAUAAAUUUGGUUGUUUUUUUCUUUUGCCUCACAAUCUGUUAAGGAAAUGUUUGUUUGUUUUUCCUUCUUAUCAUGAUUUUGAGUUUGGUUUUAAUUUGUUUUUCCUGAUUUUUUUUUUUUUUGGCGUUUCCAGUUUAUGUUUGGUUUUGUUCUUGAGUUCUUGUUAUAAUGCAUUUAGUGCUCUCACUCUUUUUUAUAUGUGAAUUGUUUAAUGUGUUGCAAUUGGGGCUUUGGUUUGCUUUGUUGCUAUAGAAUUCUAAUUCCCUAAAGGUAUGGUCUGAUGGCAGAGGAAUAUAUAUUUAGUAAUUUGUCUUGUUGAGAAAUGAUUAAUGUAGUAACAUUAGAUGCUGAUAGAGGUUGUUUUUCGAAUAAGCUAAUAGGCCAAGACUUCUUCAUAUUUAACCAUCACUCAUAGGUAAGAGUAUCGCACAUUUAAGUUUCAUCAAGUAUAUAAUAUGUCUAAAGUUUCAUGUAUCUACUUAGUAUGUUUUAGUUUAUUAUAUAUGUUUGUGUGAAAUUUCAGAUUACCUUUACACUUUUGGAAGUUCAGUUCAAUUCUGAGAUACACUGUGAGUUUUGGAAGCUGCUUUCGACGAAUAGAUUAGUUUUGUUAUUAAGACUUUCGAUUUGUAUCAUCAGUGUACACGGGCAAAAGAACUUGAUGGCUGAGACAAUGUAGUACUUGUCUAAUUUUAUGAAUGUUAAUUACAUUGUAUUUUGAGAUUAUUUAAUGAAAGUCCAUAUACUUUUGAUUUCU
Molecule: RNA transcript, 1843 nt
Organism: Rosa chinensis
Lineage: Eukaryota; Viridiplantae; Streptophyta; Magnoliopsida; Rosales; Rosaceae
Exons: 2
Source: RefSeq, a predicted model, not a curated record